This 662-nucleotide ribosomal RNA is filed under the name Capillidium pumilum. Its description in RNAcentral is "eukaryotic LSU rRNA". It matches the Rfam family "Eukaryotic large subunit ribosomal RNA", at positions 30 to 633 of the family's 3401-position model. The record is from RNAcentral. Lineage: Eukaryota; Fungi; Entomophthoromycota; Entomophthoromycetes; Entomophthorales; Capillidiaceae.
GAACUUAAGCAUAUCAUUAAGCAGAGGAAAAGAAAUUAACUAAGAUUCCCUCAGUAAUGGCGAAUGAACCGGGAAAAGCUCAAAUUUAAAAUCAUUUAUCAAAAUGAAUUGUAGUUUAAGAAUGUUUAAUUAAAAAUGUUAAGCCUAUUAAUUCAAUUGGAAAAUUGAAACAUAGAGGGUUAUAUUCCCGUAUAUGUAGGUACUUGAUAUUUAAUAAUUAUUCAUUAAAGAGUCAGAUUGUUUGGGAUUACAGUCUAAAUUAGGAGGUAAAUUUCUUUUAAAGCUAAAUAUUGGUAGGAGACCGAUAGCGAACAAGUACCGUAAGGGAAAGAUGAAAUAGAACCUUGUAAAGGGGUUUAAACAGAAAGUGAAAUCGUUAAGAGGGAAACAUUUAAAACUCGAACUAAAGGAACAAAUAUUGAUGUAAUUUACAACAAAUUUUGGACCUUUUAAAUCUCAAUAAUUAUUAUUUUUGGUUAAAAAUUGUUUUUAUAACAAGGUUUCAUUCAACGUAUUGAAACUUAAAAGUAAAUGUCAAUUAACUAAUUAUGAUAUUAAACCUAUUUAUUACACCUUCAUGUUUUUAUUACUGAACAGCAAUCUUUUUAAGAUUAUUGUUCAACUAAUUCGAACACAGGUGCUAUGGGAAAAAUAUUGAUAAU